Molecule: non-coding RNA, 48 nt
Filed under: Trichobilharzia regenti
Lineage: Eukaryota; Metazoa; Platyhelminthes; Trematoda; Strigeidida; Schistosomatidae
Source: RNAcentral
AUCCAAAUGAUGAGUCCCAAAUGGGACGAAAUGCUCGACAUCUUGGAU